CUCCCCUUUCCCUUUCCUCCCCACACCAAACCCUAGCCGCGUCACUCAUGUCUCUCUCACUCCUCACCAACGCAUUUUUGGCAAAGUUUCAGAUGAGAAAAAGUCUUUGACAGGUCUGUAUGGCAAUUUGAAGCAAAGCAUUUAUGGUUUCCACUCCAUUUCACCAAACGCGGUACAAUAUCAUCCUCUCUCUUCACUUUUCUGUGAAUCUCAACGGGAAGAAUUGAUUUUCUUUAAUUAGAUUUGUUUGUAUCUGAGUUUGAAUGGGCAAUUGCCAUUGGUGGAGAAUCGCACGGAUCGACCUCAUAUGGGGCAAAAUCUGACCGUAGAUCUCCCUUUACCUUCAUUCUUAUCCGUUGAUUGAUGUGUUGAAGUUAAUUUGUGAGAAAAAACCCCAAAGUCCCACAUCGGACCGUUUAGGGUUUUUGAGAAUUUGGGGGUUCUAUAUAAAGAACCCCAUUCUCCACAUUUCUAGAGAGCUUUGGAGCAUAUUGAAACAUCACUAUACUCAAAAGUCGAAUUACCUAGGGUUUCUAACUUUUGAGACCUUUAAUUAUUCGACUAAGUUCAAAAUUUUAAGGUUUAAUUAUUUUUUGCUUGUUUGUGGCUGAGUUUGGGGAUUUUGAGGAGCAAAGGAUCUUCAAGGUUCAUUCUCGACUCAAGGCUGCACCAGGAAGAGGCCCAAUUAUCUUAUUCGAUCGAGUCCGUGUGAGAAAAAUGGCAAGGGAAGCUAAUAUAUAUUGAAGGCCCAGCUAUGGGUGAAAAUAGCAAACUGGUGGGCUUAGGUAGGCCCACCAGCCUAAACUUCCCUCUUACAUUCAUUAUUUGUGUAAAAAUUAUAUUUGUAAAACGCUUGAUGAUUAUUGGAACCCAUUAUGUAUGUUAGAACU
Molecule: long non-coding RNA, 890 nt
Organism: Lycium ferocissimum
Lineage: Eukaryota; Viridiplantae; Streptophyta; Magnoliopsida; Solanales; Solanaceae
Exons: 2
Source: RefSeq, a predicted model, not a curated record